GGGAUGCUGUUGACCAUAGAGACGGGAGGUUCUAGGCAACUCAGAGGUCGUAGCAGCAAACCCCGAGAGAGGAUGUAUAAGGAAUACCAAGCCUUUCCCAGCAAAAAGCGGGAAGGGGCCCAGGCCCCGGGAGUCCCUCACUGAAGGACGACUCACAGAAAUAAAAUCCACACGCAUCUGGAGAUCAGCAGUCUCCGGGCUGGGUGCACGAGUCUUCCCUGCUUCCGCCUCGUCAGGCCUGUUCACCUUGGGUUCACACAGCCAUUUACCAGACCUUUUAGUCCCCACGUCGCCGGAGAGACCUUUUAGUCCCCACGUCGCCGGAGAGAUCGAGCGUCCCAUCCCCACGAGUCACGCCGCGAGCACAAAAGGUUACAUUAAUGAUGGGCAGUGCGCAGCAAGACAGUCAAAAGACUGUCCGAGGGAAAGGUAGGCCACUGGUUAGGAACCCUUGCUGUCUCUGCUCGCAAGGUCCCAGCGAAUAAGAGCAGUGAAAACCUACAGGUUUGGUGAAUAGAAACCCAUAACAGAGACCUAUAGACCACACAGCAUAAGGACUUUACCUCUUUUCUUCAUGGAUUCAUUCCUUCAUGGUUUUUGAGACAGGGCUUCUUUAUGUAGCCUAGGCUGGCUUCCAAUACAUAAUCGAUUUGCACCGUACUCCAGUUUACUGGUACUACUAUGAGCAUCCAUCACCACACUUGCUCAAUUAAUGUUUUUUCUUUAUGAUAAACAAUAUGAACACAUUUUCUAUUACCCAUUUUAACAGAUGGGACCUGAGGCAUUAAACUCACAAGUUAGAGUCGGUGGACGGAAUUCCAUCAGUUGACCUCUAGACGCCCCCUUUUUUGGCUGUAGAAUUGUAUUAUCUAUGGGGAUAAGGCUGUUUAGGUUGGGUAACAUACCAUGGAGGAUGUGAUGGGAGUUUUGUCUUUCCUCCUCCUCUUCCUCUUUUUUUUCUUUUUGAAAUCUUCUCAACAGAGGAAUCUUUAGACUUUUUCCUUAUGAGAUAUAGAUAGAUAGAUAGAUAGAUACAGUCAGGUGUGAGCUACCCUGCCUGGGCGCAGUGACCCUAUCUGCAAAAGCAUCUGGCAUUCUCAAAAGCUGACCCAUGUCUCCAGUUCCAAGGGUUACGUUUUAAAAUUUGGCCAGUUGGUCGUUAGUGAAACUAGGAGACAGGUCUCCUGAACAGGAAUGAGAAUGUGGGAGUGGAGUAAGGGUGGGGAUGAGGAAAGAUUCUAGAACUCUCUGAAGGUUAAAAUCCUCAUCAUGUGGAUGUAGAUAGAGAGGAAGAAUUUGUGAAGAUGAAGACAAGAAUAGACAAAGAAGAGAGGUUGAAUAUUGUUUCUAAAUUUCCAGUUUAAAAAGUUGAGUAGGUGAGUAGGUGUGUUUUCUAAGUUGUAGAUUUCAGAAAGAGGUUUUCAAGGUAGGUUCCAAGGGUAGUAGAUAGAGUUCUUGCAGAGCGCUGGACUAGCUUGGGUUGAAUCCUCUGUACUUAAAAAGAGUAGCCUAUGAGUCUGAUUGGAGAAAUGGUUAAUCUGAGACGUUCCCUAAGACAUUUAUUUGGUGAAACAAACAGUGCUUGUUUCAGAAAUGGAGCCCCCAUGUAUGUCACCUGGCUAGAACCAGUAUAGUAAUUUCUCAUCAAUUUGUCUUAAGUCUUCAGAGUCAUUUAUGUUGUAAUAGGCCAAUGCUAAGGGAAGAAAGAGACCUUAGCUGUGAGGAAGACCCCUUCAAGCACUGGGUGCCAGUGUAAACCAUCACCUGGAAACAACUGAUGGAGCCCUGGAAAGAUAAGAGGUUGUAAGGGUUCCUACCUUUUGGUAGCAGUAAGAGUUAGGCUUACAAACCCAUUCUUACUAGACCAGAAUUACUAUUAGAACUCAGGCACGUGUUCUAAUGAGGUUUUAAUCAUUAUUAUGUUAUUUUUUGGCCCCUAUAAUAGAAUAAAAUGUUUUGUUUGGAGAGGUCAUAGUACAACGACAGGUGUCCCACUAGAAAAUAAAAUGUUAAAGAACAGACAAAAUAGGCUUACACUAGAAAAUCAGAACCAAAGUGUGAGGGCUGUUGUCUCCUGCUGUGUCAGCUUUCUGUAACAGCUUCUGGCGGUGGAAUUCAGUUGUUGCCACAGAGCCUGUUGGCUUCCAAGAAGACUUUUUUUGUAAUAACUUUUAAAUAUAGUUUAAUAAUUCCAUGACCUGUUCAUUUUAAACCCUGAAAGUCGAGCAAGAAAUAAUUAGAAGAUACAUUAAAUAGGAACAGACCCAUCUUUUUCAUGCUUCAGAGAAGAACAUUAUAUAAAGAAGAAUACUCAGAAGGAUGGAGAUCAGAGACGAGAACUGAAAGAAGAAAGGCCCAAAGGCAAUAGAAAAGCUACCAGGUCACAGACACAGACGGGUGUUAGUGCAGAGUCUUCUUGGAGUUAGGCUAGAAAGAUGGAAACUGAGUCAGGUGGCUCUGAAAUGGGCAAGAGUUACUGGACAAGGAAGGUGUUCCAGCUAACUUUUCCUAUAGGAGGUGACUAUAUGCACUAAUGAUGUAUAUACUAGGUCACAUCCUCUUAGUGCUCUUUCUCUGAUUGUCAUUUAGAUUUUGAAUAACCUUAAACUCAUUGUCAGAAUUACUUAAGGAUUUAUCUCAUCCAGAAGGGUCCUAACAUCUAACAUUUAAUUUCAUUGAAAUAGUUUUAUUAUAAUCCCACACCAACUAAAUGAUCACCGUUUAAUGCUUUAAAUCUUAGUUUUUAAAAUGAACCAUCCUCAGGUCUCUUAAUCUAAGAUACAAGUUGACAGCUAAGUUCUAGCCCCAUGCUCAGCUAAGAUUCUUAAAUUGUUAGGGCUGUGAUUUGGAAAGGCGGUUUAGCAAUUAAGAGUAGAAGCCAAUCUUUCAGAUGACAAGGGCUCUAAUCCCAGCACCUACAUGGUGGCUCAUACCUGUCUAGUAUAGGGGAUCCACUGCCCUCUUAGGACCUCCAAGUACACCAUGUGUGUAUAUCGUUAAAUAGGCAUACAUGUAGAUAAAAUACCCAUAUACAAAAAGAUUUUUAAAAAGAU
Molecule: long non-coding RNA, 3053 nt
Filed under: Mus pahari (shrew mouse)
Lineage: Eukaryota; Metazoa; Chordata; Mammalia; Rodentia; Muridae
Description: lncRNA (MGP_PahariEiJ_G0002190.1)
Source: RNAcentral